RNAcentral lists this long non-coding RNA (1383 nucleotides) under Phasianus colchicus (ring-necked pheasant). Its description in RNAcentral is "lncRNA (ENSPCLG00000000524.1)". The record is from RNAcentral. Lineage: Eukaryota; Metazoa; Chordata; Aves; Galliformes; Phasianidae.
AUGACGAUCUUUUUUUUCAUCACUACAGCAUACGAAAAUUUGUCCACUGUAUCUGUAAGUGAUCCAGCUGCUUUGGAUGUGGACAUCUGGGAACCUGGUUGUUCAACUAUCGAUAUAUGUCAGAAGCUCCGAAAAGAAUACACUAAGAAAAUUGAGAGCCGUUCACGGAAAAUGGAGCAUUUUGCAAAGCAAUCAUUAAGCACUGCCAACCAGCAUUUGACAAUGAUGAAUCAACAGCUACUUGAAUGCAGGUCUGUAAAGAAAUAAUUAUCUUAAAACAAUUAAAAAUCAAUUAAUGCAUUCUAACCUUUUCUCUCCUUUUUUUUUUUUUUUUUUAAUAGGCUCAAGCAGCUGGACAGAUUUCAUAUUGUUAUUCUUCAGGAAAUUGAGAAUUUUGAGAAAGAUUCUCAGUCCCUGAAUAACAUGGAGAAAGAAUUACUGGUUUGUUUUUAAUUACUUUAGCAUGGAGAAAAACAAGUUCCUGUGAAAUCUAUGGAUUACUCAUAGGAUCUUUCACUUUGUAUCAUUAAUUCUGAUUUUUAAAAAACCUUUUUGUCUUCCUUAUAGAUGACUCAAGUUUCAAAUAAUGAAUUUGAAAUGUCAGGAUUUGAUUAUGCUACGCUAUUAAAGUUUCAGUUACUAUUAGGUUUUCUUCCUGGAACAAACAACUCAUGCUGCUUCUAAUGGGCUGUUUAUGCUAUUUCAUGAGCCUUAUUUCAAUUGGCCUGCAUUUCAGGCUGUGUGUUCUGAGACAGGUCAGUUGCCUGCUACAUGCUGUAAUGUAAAAUUGAUAUAUAAGUAUUCAUGUUAAAACAAAACUUCUUUCCUCUGAGGCCUUUUUCUUUUUUAAUUACACUUUGAUUAUAUCAAAAAUCUGUUUAAAACAUUGUGGACAUACUUUUUCAUUUAUUUGAAACUUAGAACAAAUAUAUUGGUGAAAAAUUUUCUGAUGAAACUGGCUUCAUGAAAAUGGAAUUCCUGAAGUGUCAUAUCCUGCCAUCCAAACUUUUAUGUUUGUUUGUUUUAAAGCCUCUAAGGUGACUGUUUACCUACUUCCCAUUCUGUGCUGAGCCUAUAAUUGCAGGUUAUAGUAGUCAAAUUAGAUUGUAGUCAGUUCUAGUUUAGAAAAUGCCAGUUACUGUUGGCUGUCAUCUGUUAAUAUCUUUCUUUCCAGACUUUUUGGAAAAAACAUAAGCAUACCUUAAGUACGUUCAUGAAAAAUGAGCAACAGAGGUUAGUAGGCUUCAUUGGUGAUGUUUUGAAAUUUGCUUUCUGAUGUAAAUUCAAGCUGAAAAUUAGGCUGCCUUUUAUUUUUUAUGCAGUUGCUCUCUUCCAUAAAGUAAGGAUAAUAAACGAGAUGAGAAAAAGAGAUUAAAACGUAAC